CUGGUUGAUCCUGCCAGUAGUGAUAUGCUUGUUUCAAAGAUUAAGCCAUGCAUGUCUAAGUAUAAGCGAACUUAUACAGUGAAACUGCGGAUGGCUCAUUAAAACAGUUUGAAUUUAUUUGAUGAAUGUAUGAGAAUACUACUUGGAUAACCGUAGUAAUUCUAGAGCUAAUACAUGCAACGACGCCCGACCGUUUCACUACGGAAGGGCUGUAUUUAUUGGAUACCAAAACCAUCCUUCCCUCGGGAAGUUUUGUUUGAUGAUUCACAAUAACUGAUCGGAUCGCCACUGUGGUGGCGACAGGUCAUUCAACAUUCUGCCCUAUCAGCUUUCGAUGGUUGUGUAGUGGACAACCAUGGCCAUAACGGGUAACGGAGAAUCAGGGUUCGAUUCCGGAGAAGGAGCUUGAGAAUUGGCUACUACAUCUAAGGAAGGCAGCAGGCGCGCAAAUUACCCAAUCCCGAUUCGGGGAGGUAGUGACAAAAAAUAACAAUACCGGGCCUUUUUGGGCUUGGUAAUUGGAAUGAGGGAGAGUUAAACGGACCAUCGAGUAUCCAUUGGAGGGCAAGUCUGGUGCCAGCAGCUGCGGUAAUACCAGCUCCAAUAGCGUAUAUUAAAGUUGUUGCAGUUAAAAAGCUCGUAGGUGGACUUGUGUGCGCUGUCCGCGGGUGGCCUGCGCCCAAAAGGGCGUUUCGGUUCGGCCCCGGUGGCGCCUUGAAAUCUGCAGCUGGGGGGACGUUGGCCUUAACUGGUCGGCGACCGCACGCCGGCUGCUCGGUUACUGUGAGAAAAUUAGAGUGUUCAAGGCAGGCAUUGGGUGCAAUUGAAUACAUUAGCAUGGAAUAAUAAAAUAUGGCUCCUGCCGUAUUUUGUUGGUUUUGACUGGUGGGAGUAAUGAUUGAUAGGGACGGUUGGGGGUGCUAGUAUUGAGCGGCCAGAGGUGAAAUUCAUGGAUUCGCUCAAGACUAACUUAUGCGAAAGCAUUCACCAAGGACGUCCUCUUUAAUCAAGAACGAAAGUUGGGGGAUCGAAGACGAUCAGAUACCGUCGUAGUCUCAACCAUAAACUAUGUCGACUUGGGAUCGGCGGUAGUUUUUUCAUUAAGACACUGUCGGGACCACGGGAGAAAUCAAAGUGUCUGGACUCUGGGGGAAGUAUGGUCGCAAGGCUGAAACUUGAAGGAAUUGACGGAAGGGCACCACCAGG
RNAcentral lists this ribosomal RNA (1206 nucleotides) under metagenome. RNAcentral describes it as "SSU rRNA". It matches the Rfam family "Eukaryotic small subunit ribosomal RNA", at positions 4 to 1174 of the family's 1831-position model. The record is from RNAcentral.